GGUUAAGCGACUAAGCGUACACGGUGGAUGCCCUGGCAGUCAGAGGCGAUGAAGGACGUGCUAAUCUGCGAAAAGCGUCGGUAAGGUGAUAUGAACCGUUACAGCCGGCGAUGUCCGAAUGGGGAAACCCAGUGCAAUUCGUUGCACUAUCGUUAACUGAAUACAUAGGUUAACGAGGCGAACCGGGGGAACUGAAACAUCUAAGUACCCCGAGGAAAAGAAAUCAACCGAGAUUCCCCCAGUAGCGGCGAGCGAACGGGGAGCAGCCCAGAGUCUGAAUCAGCUUGUGUGUUAGUGGAACGGUCUGGAAAGUCCGACGGUACAGGGUGAUAGUCCCGUACACCAAAAUGCACAGGUUGUGAACUCGAAGAGUAGGGCGGGACACGUGGUAUCCUGUCUGAAUAUGGGGGGACCAUCCUCCAAGGCUAAAUACUCCUGACUGACCGAUAGUGAACCAGUACCGUGAGGGAAAGGCGAAAAGAACCCCGGCGAGGGGAGUGAAAAAGAACCUGAAACCGUGUACGUACAAGCAGUGGGAGCACCUUCGGGUGUGACUGCGUACCUUUUGUAUAAUGGGUCAGCGACUUAUAUUCUGUAGCAAGGUUAACCGUAUAGGGGAGCCGCAGGGAAACCGAGUCUUAACUGGGCGUUAAGUUGCAGGGUAUAGACCCGAAACCCGGUGAUCUAGCCAUGGGCAGGUUGAAGGUUGGGUAACACUAACUGGAGGACCGAACCGACUAAUGUUGAAAAAUUAGCGGAUGACUUGUGGCUGGGGGUGAAAGGCCAAUCAAACCGGGAGAUAGCUGGUUCUCCCCGAAAGCUAUUUAGGUAGCGCCUCGUGAAUUCAUCUUCGGGGGUAGAGCACUGUUUCGGCUAGGGGGUCAUCCCGACUUACCAACCCGAUGCAAACUACGAAUACCGAAGAAUGUUAUCACGGGAGACACACGGCGGGUGCUAACGUCCGUCGUGAAGAGGGAAACAACCCAGACCGCCAGCUAAGGUCCCAAAGUCAUGGUUAAGUGGGAAACGAUGUGGGAAGGCACAGACAGCCAGGAUGUUGGCUUAGAAGCAGCCAUCAUUUAAAGAAAGCGUAAUAGCUCACUGGUCGAGUCGGCCUGCGCGGAAGAUGUAACGGGGCUAAACCAUGCACCGAAGCUGCGGCAGCGACACUAUGUGUUGUUGGGUAGGGGAGCGUUCUGUAAGCCUGCGAAGGUGACCUGUGAGGGUUGCUGGAGGUAUCAGAAGUGCGAAUGCUGACAUAAGUAACGAUAAAGCGGGUGAAAAGCCCGCUCGCCGGAAGACCAAGGGUUCCUGUCCAACGUUAAUCGGGGCAGGGUGAGUCGACCCCUAAGGCGAGGCCGAAAGGCGUAGUCGAUGGGAAACAGGUUAAUAUUCCUGUACUUGGUGUUACUGCGAAGGGGGGACGGAGAAGGCUAUGUUAGCCGGGCGACGGUUGUCCCGGUUUAAGCAUGUAGGCUGGUUAUCCAGGCAAAUCCGGAUAAUCAAGGCUGAGGUGUGAUGACGAGGUACUACGGUGCUGAAGUAACAAAUGCCCUGCUUCCAGGAAAAGCCUCUAAGCAUCAGGUAACAUCAAAUCGUACCCCAAACCGACACAGGUGGUCAGGUAGAGAAUACCAAGGCGCUUGAGAGAACUCGGGUGAAGGAACUAGGCAAAAUGGUGCCGUAACUUCGGGAGAAGGCACGCUGGUGUGUAGGUGAAGUCCCUGCGGAUGGAGCUGAGACCAGUCGAAGAUACCAGCUGGCUGCAACUGUUUAUUAAAAACACAGCACUGUGCAAACACGAAAGUGGACGUAUACGGUGUGACGCCUGCCCGGUGCCGGAAGGUUAAUUGAUGGGGUUAUCCGUAAGGAGAAGCUCUUGAUCGAAGCCCCGGUAAACGGCGGCCGUAACUAUAACGGUCCUAAGGUAGCGAAAUUCCUUGUCGGGUAAGUUCCGACCUGCACGAAUGGCGUAAUGAUGGCCAGGCUGUCUCCACCCGAGACUCAGUGAAAUUGAACUCGCUGUGAAGAUGCAGUGUACCCGCGGCAAGACGGAAAGACCCCGUGAACCUUUACUAUAGCUUGACACUGAACAUUGAGCCUUGAUGUGUAGGAUAGGUGGGAGGCUUUGAAGCGUGGACGCCAGUCUGCGUGGAGCCAACCUUGAAAUACCACCCUUUAAUGUUUGAUGUUCUAACGUGGGCCCCUAAUCGGGGUUGCGGACAGUGUCUGGUGGGUAGUUUGACUGGGGCGGUCUCCUCCCAAAGCGUAACGGAGGAGCACGAAGGUUAGCUAAUCCUGGUCGGACAUCAGGAGGUUAGUGCAAUGGCAUAAGCUAGCUUGACUGCGAGCGUGACGGCGCGAGCAGGUGCGAAAGCAGGUCAUAGUGAUCCGGUGGUUCUGAAUGGAAGGGCCAUCGCUCAACGGAUAAAAGGUACUCCGGGGAUAACAGGCUGAUACCGCCCAAGAGUUCAUAUCGACGGCGGUGUUUGGCACCUCGAUGUCGGCUCAUCACAUCCUGGGGCUGAAGUAGGUCCCAAGGGUAUGGCUGUUCGCCAUUUAAAGUGGUACGCGAGCUGGGUUUAGAACGUCGUGAGACAGUUCGGUCCCUAUCUGCCGUGGGCGCUGGAGAAUUGAGGGGGGCUGCUCCUAGUACGAGAGGACCGGAGUGGACGCAUCACUGGUGUUCGGGUUGUCAUGCCAAUGGCACUGCCCGGUAGCUAAAUGCGGAAGAGAUAAGUGCUGAAAGCAUCUAAGCACGAAACUUGCCCCGAGAUGAGUUCUCCCUGAGACUAUAAGUCUCCUGAAGGAACGUUGAAGACGACGACGUUGAUAGGCCGGGUGUGUAAGCGCAGCGAUGCGUUGAGCUAACCGGUACUAAUGAACCGUGAGGCUUAACCUU
This 2902-nucleotide ribosomal RNA is filed under the name Klebsiella quasipneumoniae. Its description in RNAcentral is "23S ribosomal RNA". It matches the Rfam family "Bacterial large subunit ribosomal RNA". Lineage: Bacteria; Pseudomonadati; Pseudomonadota; Gammaproteobacteria; Enterobacterales; Enterobacteriaceae. The record is from RNAcentral.